This 305-nucleotide ribosomal RNA is filed under the name uncultured bacterium. Its description in RNAcentral is "bacterial SSU rRNA". It matches the Rfam family "Bacterial small subunit ribosomal RNA", at positions 336 to 639 of the family's 1533-position model. The record is from RNAcentral.
UUCCUACGGGAGGCAGCAGUGAGGAAUAUUGGUCAAUGGGAGAGAUCCUGAACCAGCCAAGCCGCGUGAGGGAAGACGGCCCUAUGGGUUGUAAACCUCUUUUGUCGGAGAACAAAACCCGGGACGUGUCCCAGACUGCGUGUAUCCGAAGAAAAAGCAUCGGCUAACUCCGUGCCAGCAGCCGCGGUAAUACGGAGGAUGCGAGCGUUAUCCGGAUUUAUUGGGUUUAAAGGGGGCGUAGGCGGACAGUCAAGUCAGCGGUAAAAAUGCGGUGCUCAACGCCGGACAGCCGUUGAAACUGGCAG